RNAcentral lists this ribosomal RNA (417 nucleotides) under uncultured bacterium. RNAcentral describes it as "bacterial SSU rRNA". It matches the Rfam family "Bacterial small subunit ribosomal RNA", at positions 769 to 1184 of the family's 1533-position model. The record is from RNAcentral.
UUAACAGGAUUAGAUACCCUGGUAGUCCACGCCGUAAACGUUGGGCGCUAGAUGUGGGGACCAUUCCACGGUUUCCGUGUCGCAGCUAACGCAUUAAGCGCCCCGCCUGGGGAGUACGGCCGCAAGGCUAAAACUCAAAGGAAUUGACGGGGGCCCGCACAAGCGGCGGAGCAUGCGGAUUAAUUCGAUGCAACGCGAAGAACCUUACCAAGGCUUGACAUAUACGAGAACGGGCUAGAAAUAGUCAACUCUUUGGACACUCGUAAACAGGUGGUGCAUGGUUGUCGUCAGCUCGUGUCGUGAGAUGUUGGGUUAAGUCCCGCAACGAGCGCAACCCUCGUUCUAUGUUGCCAGCACGUAAUGGUGGGAACUCAUGGGAUACUGCCGGGGUCAACUCGGAGGAAGGUGGGGAUGACG